Molecule: long non-coding RNA, 1443 nt
Organism: Corylus avellana
Lineage: Eukaryota; Viridiplantae; Streptophyta; Magnoliopsida; Fagales; Betulaceae
Source: RefSeq, a predicted model, not a curated record
UCCCAUCUCCACUACAUCUACACUCAACUGACCUCAUCACAAUCACCAUGGCGAUGGCAGGCCGUUCGAGGUCAUGUCUAACUCAUAUUUCACUUUAUGAAUCAUCAGCUUUUGAUCCAUCGCCUUUUAUUUGUAACCGUCACCUUCACCUUCGGAAUACACCGGCCUUCUCGUCCUUAUUACGACCUAGUUUUCUUUAAGUCUUUAUGCCGCAAUGAGAAUGAGGAGGAUAUUACUAAAUGGUACAAGAUUAAAGUUUGUGCCGAAAGUUGUGCGAAGGUCGAGAAUGAGAUAGAGUUCCAUCCGUUGUGGAGAGGACAACUUCCACUAAACGCAAGCUAUGCAGCAUUAGGCUGUGAUCUAUACUGUUUUGGUGGCGAACGUCCUUCUGCUUCUUUUGUGACUUCAUCGGAGGUUUAUAAAUUAGUCUCUAACUUUCCUAUUUCUGAUGAGAGCUGGAUUCAGAUGCCUUCUAUGAAAGUUCCAAGAGUCCGUGCUCGCAUUUUGGUACUUGAUGGUAAGAUAUAUGUUGUUGGCGGUCAUAGAUUUUUCCUACCAAGACGGGAUGAAAAACAGCAUAUUGGCGUUUCGGUUAGAAAAUUGGAAGCUCAAGCCUCGGUUGUUGAGGUCUUUGAUCCCACCACUGGAGAGUGGAAGGUCUUGCCUCCUCUUCCCAUUCCCAUUCCCUUUGAAGCAAAGUAUAUACUUGUGCAGCUCUUGAGAAUCCAAACAGGAUUCUCAUAAUUGCUUCCCUUUCAAGCACUAGUGGAGCUUUAGUCUUCUGUCAAUAUUACGUGCAGCAAGUUUGUUGGAAAAUGUUUAACAAGAAAGACAUUGAUUGUCCUCUUGGAAAAAAGCCUCUAACGGCUGCCAACAUUAAGUAUUGGCUAACCAUUGAUUCUAUUCUUGGAAAAAAGGCUAUAACGGCUGGCAACACUCUGUAUUGACUAACAGGCGACUCAAAGUUGGUUGCCUACGAUGUAGUCCAGGACGUGUGGCUUUCAGGGCAACUCAAAGGUGUGGGAAUCUCAUUUCUUGAAUACGACGAGCCCCAUCCAACUCAAAGGUGUAGUCUAAUCCAUUUAGAGGGCGAGAGGUUCGCCAUGCAUGGUGCAAUGCGAAUCUUAUACUGAUGUUGAGGUUGAGUGUGUCAUAAUAGAUGUCUAUCGGCGGCAGUCUUGUAACAGGCGUUUUGGAUUGGGAAUUUCACUGGUGUCCCUCCAUAAAUGUAAGACGGAGAAAAAUUCUUUCGUAUCGGAUUGCUUUGUACUGGGUAAGUAGAUUUCGUGGAUAAGUUAAGCAAGAAGGAAGGGGUAGUUGAUUUUGAGGAGAAGUCGAGCAAGGAGGAUGGUAUUCCCCAUUCCAUGUUCAAGACACAUAUGGCAAACUAUAGGACCCAAAAAUCUUUUGAGAAGAUCACGCUUUGUGAAAGAAACUACACAA